RNAcentral lists this ribosomal RNA (588 nucleotides) under uncultured bacterium. RNAcentral's name for it is "partial 16S ribosomal RNA". It matches the Rfam family "Bacterial small subunit ribosomal RNA", at positions 355 to 1376 of the family's 1533-position model. The record is from RNAcentral.
UGGGGAAUAUUGGACAAUGGGCGCAAGCCUGAUCCAGCAAUGCCGCGUGUGUGAAGAAGGCCUUCGGGUUGUAAAGCACUUUUAUCAGGAGCGAAACGCUGUCGGCUAAUACCCGGCGGAACUGACGGUACCUGAGGAAUAAGCACCGGCUAACUUCGUGCCAGCAGCCGCGGUAAUACGAAGGGUGCAAGCGUUAAUCGGAAUUACUGGGCGUAAAGCGUGCGUAGGCGGUUUCUUAAGUCUGCUGUGAAAUCCCCGGGCUCAACCUGGGAAUGGCAGUGGAUACUGGGAGGCUAGAGUGUGUCAGAGGGUGGUGGAAUUCCCGGUGUAGCGGUGAAAUGCGUAGAGAUCGGGAGGAACAUCAGUGGCGAAGGCGGCCACCUGAGACAACACUGACGCUGAGGCACGAAAGCGUGGGGAGCAAACAGGAUUAGAUACCCUGGUAGUCCACGCCCUAAACGAUGCGAACUGGAUGUUGGUCUCAACUCGGAGAUCAGUGUCGAAGCUAACGCGUUAAGUUCGCCGCCUGGGGAGUACGGUCGCAAGACUGAAACUCAAAUGAAUUGACGGGGUCAUAGCUGUUUCCUG